AGACCCGAAACCCGGUGAUCUAGCCAUGGGCAGGUUGAAGGUUGGGUAACACUAACUGGAGGACCGAACCGACUAAUGUUGAAAAAUUAGCGGAUGACCUGUGGCUGGGGGUGAAAGGCCAAUCAAACCGGGAGAUAGCUGGUUCUCCCCGAAAGCUAUUUAGGUAGCGCCUCGUGAACUCAUCUCCGGGGGUAGAGCACUGUUUCGGCUAGGGGGCCAUCCCGGCUUACCAACCCGAUGCAAACUGCGAAUACCGGAGAAUGUUAUCACGGGAGACACACGGCGGGUGCUAACGUCCGUCGUGAAGAGGGAAACAACCCAGACCGCCAGCUAAGGUCCCAAAGUCAUGGUUAAGUGGGAAACGAUGUGGGAAGGCCCAGACAGCCAGGAUGUUGGCUUAGAAGCAGCCAUCAUUUAAAGAAAGCGUAAUAGCUCACUGGUCGAGUCGGCCUGCGCGGAAGAUGUAACGGGGCUAAACCAUGCACCGAAGCUGCGGCAGCGACACUUUAGUGUUGUUGGGUAGGGGAGCGUUCUGUAAGCCGUUGAAGGUGUCCUGUGAGGGGUGCUGGAGGUAUCAGAAGUGCGAAUGCUGACAUAAGUAACGAUAAAGCGGGUGAAAAGCCCGCUCGCCGGAAGACCAAGGGUUCCUGUCCAACGUUAAUCGGGGCAGGGUGAGUCGACCCCUAAGGCGAGGCCGAAAGGCGUAGUCGAUGGGAAACGGGUUAAUAUUCCCGUACUUGGUGUUACUGCGAAGGGGGGACGGAGAAGGCUAUGUUGGCCGGGCGACGGUUGUCCCGGUUUAAGCGUGUAGGCUGGUUUUCCAGGCAAAUCCGGAAAAUCAAGGCUGAGGCGUGA
This 855-nucleotide ribosomal RNA is filed under the name Salmonella enterica. Its description in RNAcentral is "partial 23S ribosomal RNA". It matches the Rfam family "Bacterial large subunit ribosomal RNA", at positions 711 to 1566 of the family's 2925-position model. The record is from RNAcentral. Lineage: Bacteria; Pseudomonadati; Pseudomonadota; Gammaproteobacteria; Enterobacterales; Enterobacteriaceae.